UACGUAGGCAGCGAGCGUUGUUCGGAGUUACUGGGCGUAAAGAGUGCGUAGGCGGUUUUCUAAGUUUGGUGUGAAAUCUCCCGGCUUAACUGGGAGGGUGCGCCGAAGACUGGAAGGCUUGAGUAUGGGAGAGGUAAGCGGAAUUCCUGGUGUAGCGGUGAAAUGCGUAGAUAUCAGUAGGAACACCUGCGGUGUAGACGGCUUACUGGACCAUAACUGACGCUGAGGCACGAAAGCGUGGGUAGCAAACAGG
Molecule: ribosomal RNA, 253 nt
Filed under: uncultured bacterium
Lineage: Bacteria
Description: partial 16S ribosomal RNA
Rfam family: Bacterial small subunit ribosomal RNA
Source: RNAcentral